GUAUCACAAACAGGGGAUUACGACCUCAAAGUAGGAGCAAACAGAAAAAAGAGAUUGGUUCCGUGAGAAACAAAACAUCCUCAGGGAAGAUGAAUAGAUCAUUCUCUCAGACCUUUCAAGAUCAGGCUUACCCAUGCCCUGGAAACCUGAGAUUGGAUUCCAGAUUGCUGUGCCUUAGUAACCUCAUCUUCAGUGUCAAGAACCUACUGAAGACUCCCUUCAUAUUUGCUCCAUCCCUGUAACACCCCCUACCCCAUAAAAACAAGCAAACAAACAAGCAAAGAAAAACAAAACAAAAUGAAAAACAAACAAACAAAAAAAAAAUCCCCCAAAGGUCAGAUAGGGCUGCAAAGCUCUUUAGAACGAAUUCUUAGGCAAAACACAGAAAAAUAUAUCUUUUGUAAUAAGUGUAAAAAGAUGUUCCUACAAGAAGAGGUCAUUGCCAUAGAAACUAUUGCUACAGGAUCUAGAGAGACAUGGCCAGAUCAUAAGGCCACAGAAAUGAGGGUCUUGGCCUCUUGGGUCCAGCAACAUUAAUUCUGCAAUAACCAAGUGUCAUCCAGCAGAUCCUGACUCUUCACCAAAUGAUGGAUCUGAGUAAAGUCAGCCCACAAACCCUGUGUCCUACCCUACCCCUUGUGCAACACCUCUGCACCAGAACAGCACCUGGGGGCAACAGGAGGUUCCCUGGGAUUGCUCUUGCAGCCCUCCAGGCAC
Long non-coding RNA from Passer domesticus (house sparrow), 717 nucleotides. RefSeq lists it as uncharacterized. The transcript is spliced from 3 exons. Lineage: Eukaryota; Metazoa; Chordata; Aves; Passeriformes; Passeridae. The record is from RefSeq and is a predicted model, not a curated record.